UACGUAGGUGGCAAGCGUUAUCCGGAUUUAUUGGGCGUAAAGGGAACGCAGGCGGUCUUUUAAGUCUGAUGUGAAAGGCCGGGGCUCAACCCCGGGACUGCAUUGGAAACUGUAAAGCUAGAGUGCCGGAGAGGUAAGCGGAAUUCCUAGUGUAGCGGUGAAAUGCGUAGAUAUUAGGAGGAACACCAGUGGCGAAGGCGGCUUACUGGACGGCAACUGACGUUGAGGCUCGAAAGCGUGGGGAGCAAACAGG
Molecule: ribosomal RNA, 253 nt
Filed under: uncultured bacterium
Lineage: Bacteria
Description: partial 16S ribosomal RNA
Rfam family: Bacterial small subunit ribosomal RNA
Source: RNAcentral